Molecule: transfer RNA, 74 nt
Filed under: Candidatus Woesearchaeota archaeon
Lineage: Archaea; Nanobdellati; Candidatus Woesearchaeota
Description: tRNA-Trp
Rfam family: tRNA
About the family: Transfer RNA (tRNA) molecules are approximately 80 nucleotides in length. Their secondary structure includes four short double-helical elements and three loops (D, anti-codon, and T loops).
Source: RNAcentral
GGGGUCGUAGUUUAACCUGGCUAGAGCAGCCGGCUCCAGACCGGCAAAUCGGGGUUCGAAUCCCCGCGACCCCA